Molecule: ribosomal RNA, 441 nt
Filed under: uncultured bacterium
Lineage: Bacteria
Description: partial 16S ribosomal RNA
Rfam family: Bacterial small subunit ribosomal RNA
Source: RNAcentral
CCUACGGGUGGCAGCAGUGGGGAAUAUUGCACAAUGGGGGAAACCCUGAUGCAGCGACGCCGCGUGAGUGAAGAAGUAUUUCGGUAUGUAAAGCUCUAUCAGCAGGAACGAGACAAGACGGUACCUGACUAAGAAGCCCCGGCUAACUACGUGCCAGCAGCCGCGGUAAUACGUAGGGGGCAAGCGUUAUCCGGAAUCACUGGGUGUAAAGGGAGCGUAGACGGCUGAGCAAGCCUGAAGUGAAAGGCGGGGGACCAACCCCCGGACUGCUUUGGGAACUGUACGGCUGGAGUGCAGGAGAGGUAAGUGGAAGUCCGAGUGUAGCGGUGAAAUGCGUAGAUAUUAGGAGGAACACCAGGGGCGAAGGCGGCUUACUGGACUGUAACUGACGUUGAGGCUCGAAAGCGUGGGGAGCAAACAGGAUUAGAUACCCUUGUAGUC